Long non-coding RNA from Capra hircus (goat), 1209 nucleotides. The record is from Ensembl. Lineage: Eukaryota; Metazoa; Chordata; Mammalia; Artiodactyla; Bovidae.
UGCUUGCCCAGAUUGAUCUCUUUGGGGAUUUAUCAGCUCACCCAUGCUGAGAGCAGAGGCAAAAAGGAAGUCCACCCUUUUCUGUUCGAUGCUCACUCCCAUUUUCAUUUGUAGUGACAACUUCUGAGUGUAAAUUGGAUUCAUUUUUUUCCUGGAUGUUCGUUUGUGGAGGAUUGUUUGGCUUCCCUCUCUUAAAGGAAAAAAAAAAAAGAAAUCGCAGAAAGCUUGGCCUUCGUCUGCCCCACGGCCCUGGUCCCCUGAUUUCAGGCUCCUGGUCUCGGUUUUUCGUCACGUCACCCGCAUGACAGUUUCAUCUGGUGCUAAUGUGGCCGUCACAUGAGUUAGUCGUCAGAAUUCCAUGCUCGUUUACCAUUAAUCAAAUGCAUCAUUAUGAAUUGUGUAUGCAUUUUAGGGCAGACCCAAACCCCGGCUUGAUAGGAAAGUGUUUUUGUUUUUUUUCCACUUAACGUUCGGCAACGGCAGAUGAGUGGCAAGGCCAAAGUGACAUUCUCUGUGUUUGCUUAGCCCAGAAAUCAACAACCCUAAAUUACAGGUUGAUAAGCUAUGUCCAGGUAGCAUUAGCUUCUCCAGGUGAUUAUUAUUAGUUAAGGGUGGCCACAGUCAGCGCCAGCAAACUGAAGCUGGCCAGAGCGAGGGCAGACAAGGCGAGCAGAGAGCAGGGUCUCGGCUUCCAAGGGGCCCGGUGCCUCCUUUUGACUGGGGGGAUUUUAGUCUUAGAUUGCAUUUUCCUGGAAAUUGGGACUGGCCCUUCUAAUUUGGAAGAAUGUGAGGUAUUUGCAGGGCGAGUUCGGAUGAGUGGGGGUGGGGACGGGUUACCACUGGAUGCUUUUGGGAAUUUGUGGACUCUACUUCCCCAGGACUCACUUGCCAACUUGGCCUCUGUGGGAACAUUCCAAGUUCUGGAACCUUCCUUGGAGGGCCUGACUCCUGUUGGUUGGUGGGGACCUGGCAUCUCCUGGGCGUGUAAAGACGGUUUUCAUUCGGAGUUUGCAGUGAUCAAAGUCUUUCCUGAGGACAGGGGACUGUGUUUCAGGUCUGGAAACUGAUCUGCUCCCUGCUGAGGACAAGAGUCUCUGUGAGUCCAUUUCCUCCGGUUGUGAAAAGGAUGAUACCCCAGGAUCGCUUGGCAGAGAAGCUCUUCUAGCCUCUGUGGUGAGUCUUGCACUCUGAACAGAUUGUGCCAGGCUC